UUUUUUGAGAAGGACCUGUAGAGCAGAGAUCUCCAAUCCUGCUCCUGGAGAGCUACCAUCCUGAAGACUUCAGUUCCAACCCUGAUCCAACACACCUGUCUGUAAUUAUCAAGUAGCCCUGAACACCUUGAUUAGCUGGUUCAGGUGCGUUUGACUGGGGUUGGAGCUGAAAUCUGCAGGACAGUAGCUCUCCAUGAGCAGGGUUGGAGACCCCUGUACUAGAGAUUACACCAGCUCCAGAGUGAAUCCAAACUCACUUGUGAAGAGUUCAGAUGAUGCCAACGCUCACAAAGACUACAGAUGAUGGCAACUGUACAUGGACACACAAAACAUUGGACACAAAACAUUGCCUAUAAGGCACUCCGCAGGAUGAUGCAAAAUGAAAAUACGAGUUUUGACAAAAUGACACAAUUCAGCAUCUGAAAAAAUGUGUUUUUGCAUCAGUUUUGCUGGCAAAUAAACGGUAUCUUGGAGAAAGAAUAAACAUUGUUCUUUUACAAAUGUUUCCAACAUUUUAAUAAUACAAAAUGGAUUGAACAUUUUUUUAACUUACCCUUUAAAAAUGUUGAAGGAUAACGUUAACUGAACAGAACUAGAGACUUGUUUAGUAAGAUUUUAUCAGAAAAUAUUUUAGAAUUUUUAUCAUGCAAUUUAAAACAUUUUAACUGCUUAAUUGUUGUUUGCUUGGUUUUAUUUUGUGUUUAUGUAACUCUUGUAUUAUUGUAACUCAGUUUUUGGCAUAAAGAUAGCGUUCGAUGCUGACAGCACUGAACACAUGACUUGUAUUAUGAACUAGAACAUGGUCUUCCCCAGUGAGUCUGAGUCACCUGGCUUUUUAAAUUGUAACCUUGAAACAUGCAUUUUCUGUAAACCUACUUUGAAAUGAUAGGUAUUGUGAAAAGUGCUAUACUUAUAGAACAUUUAACCAUGGUUUUACUGCAAAUGCUGUAGUAAUGGUUAUGUUUGUUGUUACUAUGGUUUUACUGCAACAGUCAUAGUUAAACCAUGGUGAUUGUAGUAAAACUAUGGUUGAUUUUGUUUUUACUAUGGUUUUACUGCAAAUGCUGUAGUAAAAUCAUGGUUAAUUUUCAAAAGACUACAAAUAAUCGUGAAUUAUCCACUUUUGAUCAAAGCAUCUGGUAAAUGUUAAUGUAUUAGUACAUGUAAUAUGAAAUAAAUUAAAAUA
This is a long non-coding RNA of Cyprinus carpio carpio, 1186 nucleotides long. Lineage: Eukaryota; Metazoa; Chordata; Actinopteri; Cypriniformes; Cyprinidae. The record is from Ensembl.